GAUGAACGCUGGCGGCGUGCUUAACACAUGCAAGUCGAACGAAGCACUUCAUAAAGUUUACUUUAAGAAGUGACUUAGUGGCGGACGGGUGAGUAACGCGUGGGUAACCUGCCUUACACAGGGGGAUAACAGUUAGAAAUGACUGCUAAUACCGCAUAAAACAGCAGAGUCGCAUGACUCAACUGUCAAAGAUUUAUCGGUGUAAGAUGGACCCGCGUCUGAUUAGCUGGUUGGUGGGGUAACGGCCUACCAAGGCGACGAUCAGUAGCCGGCCUGAGAGGGUGAACGGCCACAUUGGGACUGAGACACGGCCCAAACUCCUACGGGAGGCAGCAGUGGGGAAUAUUGGACAAUGGGCGAAAGCCUGAUCCAGCGACGCCGCGUGAGCGAUGAAGUAUUUCGGUAUGUAAAGCUCUAUCAGCAGGG
This 426-nucleotide ribosomal RNA is filed under the name uncultured bacterium. RNAcentral describes it as "bacterial SSU rRNA". It matches the Rfam family "Bacterial small subunit ribosomal RNA", at positions 28 to 444 of the family's 1533-position model. The record is from RNAcentral.